This 73-nucleotide transfer RNA is filed under the name Nanchangia anserum. It matches the Rfam family "tRNA". Rfam says of the family: Transfer RNA (tRNA) molecules are approximately 80 nucleotides in length. Their secondary structure includes four short double-helical elements and three loops (D, anti-codon, and T loops). The record is from Rfam by way of RNAcentral. Lineage: Bacteria; Bacillati; Actinomycetota; Actinomycetes; Actinomycetales; Actinomycetaceae.
GCCCCUAUCGUCUAGAGGCCUAGGACGCCGCCCUCUCACGGCGGUAACGCCGGUUCGAAUCCGGCUAGGGGUA